Long non-coding RNA from Sinocyclocheilus rhinocerous, 439 nucleotides. RefSeq lists it as uncharacterized. The record is from RefSeq and is a predicted model, not a curated record. The transcript has 3 exons. NCBI's taxonomy places the organism in Eukaryota, Metazoa, Chordata, Actinopteri, Cypriniformes, Cyprinidae.
UCUUCCUUUUGUCUUUAACAUUUCAGGUGUCGAUGUGUGCGAUGCCAGGAAAGGUCAGGAGAUGAUUUACUGAACAUUUAUGGAGGCUUUAUCUUCAGUCCUUGUCACCAAGUCGGGCGAUGCUUCAUAGUGGGUCGUCUAACAGACGUGGAAAAAGAGAGAGCGUGACAACGCCACAACCCCUGAGUUCCGCAAUGACACAGUCUUUAACCAGUCCAACUCUUGGCAGGUACAGAACACUAAAGGACCAUUUUAUUUCUAAAUGAGUCUGAAUGGCACACCACAAAGACUGGAAAUGCUGCUGCCCUUUCAUUUUAAAUGGCUAUCGGGUUCAUCCUGCACAUAAAACCCAUCACAGAAAAUGAAUAUAAGCGGUUGGAGAAGAGACUGGAGAUGUGAACUGUCCCUCUGGAACGGGCUGCCAUUAAGUUUACUAAAA